GAUGAACGCUGGCGGCGUGCCUAAUACAUGCAAGUCGAGCGAACGGACGAGAAGGUUGCUUUUCUGAUGUUAGCGGCGGACGGGGGAGUAACACGUGGAGAACCUACCUAUAAGACUGGGAUAACUUCGUGAAACCGGAACUAAUACCGGAUAAUAUUUUGAACAGCAUGGUUCAAAAGUGAAAGACGGUCUUGCUGUCACUGAUAGAUGGAUCCGCGCUGCAUUAGCUAGUUGGUAAGGUAACGGCUUACCAAGGCAACGAUGCAUAGCCGACCUGAGAGGGUGAUCGGCCACACUGGAACUGAGACACGGUCCAGACUCCUACGGGAGGCAGCAGUAGGGAAUCUUCCGCAAUGGGCGAAAGCCUGACGGAGCAACGCCGCGUGAGUGAUGAAGGUCUUCGGAUCGUAAAACUCUGUUAUUAGGGAAGAACAUAUGUGUAAGUAACUGUGCACAUCUUGACGGUACCUAAUCAGAAAGCCACGGCUAACUACGUG
This 497-nucleotide ribosomal RNA is filed under the name uncultured bacterium. RNAcentral describes it as "partial 16S ribosomal RNA". It matches the Rfam family "Bacterial small subunit ribosomal RNA", at positions 28 to 507 of the family's 1533-position model. The record is from RNAcentral.